Molecule: transfer RNA, 76 nt
Filed under: Kineosporia babensis
Lineage: Bacteria; Bacillati; Actinomycetota; Actinomycetes; Kineosporiales; Kineosporiaceae
Description: tRNA-Leu
Rfam family: tRNA
About the family: Transfer RNA (tRNA) molecules are approximately 80 nucleotides in length. Their secondary structure includes four short double-helical elements and three loops (D, anti-codon, and T loops).
Source: RNAcentral
GCCCUCGUAGCCCAACGGCAGAGGCAGGCGCCUUAAAAGCGCUCGAGUACGGGUUCGAAUCCCGUCGGGGGCACCA